AGAGCGAACGCUGGCGGCAGGCCUAAUACAUGCAAGUCGAACGGACCCUUCGGGGUUAGUGGCGGACGAGUGAGUAACACGUGGGAACGUGCCCUUUGGUUCGGAACAACUCAGGGAAACUUGAGCUAAUACCGAAUGUGCCCCCAUCCUUAAACAAGAUGGGUGGGAAAGAUUUAUCGCCAUUGGAGCGGCCCGCGUCUGAUUAGCUAGUUGGUGAGGUAAAGGCUCACCAAGGCGACGAUCAGUAGCUGGUCUGAGAGGAUGAUCAGCCACACUGGGACUGAGACACGGCCCAGACUCCUACGGGAGGCAGCAGUAGGGAAUCUUGCGCAAUGGGCGAAAGCCUGACGCAGCCAUGCCGCGUGAAUGAUGAAGGUCUUAGGAUUGUAAAAUUCUUUCAGCGGGGGCGAUAAUGACGGUACCCGCAGAAGAAGCCCCGGCUAACUUCGUGCCAGCAGCCGC
RNAcentral lists this ribosomal RNA (462 nucleotides) under uncultured bacterium. Its description in RNAcentral is "SSU rRNA". It matches the Rfam family "Bacterial small subunit ribosomal RNA", at positions 26 to 518 of the family's 1533-position model. The record is from RNAcentral.